CUUAAAAAAAUCGAUUACUCUUUACACUUUUGAAAAUGGCCAUGGAAGAAGAAAACAAGCAUGAAAUUAUUCGGUUCUUGGCAGACUAUCCCCUACAGUGUGGGGCUACUGCUUUGCUUCCAUUUCUUCUCAUGAUUCAGAAUUUCAAUCAUACAGGUGGGUGGAACUGCUUAAAGAAAAGAUGAAGGAUAUGUUAGUUCAGCUUGUCAAAGAUUUAAUCCAAAAAAUUGAGUUGGUCAACUUAUUAUGCCGUUUUGAUGUGUCGUAUAAUUUUGAUAAUGAGAUUGAACAACAAAUUAAUCAUAUUUUCAUUCAACUGCCUAUAAACAUUGAUGAUAAUAAUUAUGAUCUUUACAGUAUAGUACUUCUAUUUCGAGUUAUGAGACAAUACAGAUACAAAAUUUUUGAAUAAUUAUUAAAAUAUUAUCUAAUAAUAUUAAGAAUAAUUUCACAAUAAUUAUCAAUAUAUUAUUGCUUAAACUUUAAAAUAUAGUAGUGUGAGGAGAGCCAACGAAUAUAUUUAAAAAAAUAAAAAUUAAUUGUGUAAUAUCAUGUAUUAAAAAAUUAAAUUUUUAUUUUUAAAAUAUAGAAGUGAAACUGCUCAAACAAAAAGUGAAUAUUUUAAUGCAGUCUGCACAAAAGUUAAUUGAUAAAAUUGAGUUUAUCAAUUUAUUAUAUCCUCUUGAUAUGUCGAAUCAUUUUAAAAAUGAAAUUGAAGAACAUAUCUUCAAUAUCCUUCCUGAUCUUCUUGCUGAAAAUGAUUAUGACCUCCACACUCUGGCUCUUCUAUUUCAAGUUCUCAGACAAUAUGGAUACCAAGAUGCCUUGUGGUAAGUAUAAUAAUUUCAUAGAAAAUGGAUUAAUCACAAGCACUUGCAGUGUACUUCCAUCAGCUUUCUUCAUCGGAAUGGAAAAGGUUAUCAGAACCAAGGAGUAUUAUUGGUUGGAAACUAAUCUUAAAAUCAUUGUAGCUUCCAAGUUAAUUUGUCGUUUGAUGGACGACGUUACCAUCAGAGAGGAUGAGCAAAGAAGAGGACAUUGUGCUUCAAGCGUGGAGUGCUACGUACAUGAAAGAACAUGGAGUAUCAGAAAAGGAAGCAAUUGGAGAAAUUCAGAAAAUGUGUGAAAAUGCAUGGAAGGACAUGAACGAAGCAUGCAUGAAGCCAACUGCUGUCCCAAGGGCUCUUCUCAAGUAUUAUGUAAACCUUGCAAGAGUGAUUGAUUUUGUUUACAAGUACAUGGAUUCCUACACAUAUGCUUCCAGUCUCAAAGAGGACAUCUCCUCAUUGUUUCUUGGGCAACUGCCCAUGUAAACAUCCACUGCUUCUUUUCAUCUGGGUCCCUAAUGCCUAAUGGAAUUUAAUUAAAUAGGCUAGAUUUUGUGAAAUUUGUUGUUUGGUGUUUCAAGUUUGAAGUUGCUGGUCAGAGUUUCUCAGUUGCUAUGCAUUUGAAUCUUGUAUCAGGUUUUCUUACCUAAUAUGAUUGGAAUAGAUUGAACUUGUUUUAUGAAGUUUUUCUGAUUCUUUAUUAUUAACAAAUGAAAAAGUU
This is an RNA transcript of Manihot esculenta (cassava), 1548 nucleotides long. It is a transcript of the gene named probable terpene synthase 6, with no coding region annotated. Lineage: Eukaryota; Viridiplantae; Streptophyta; Magnoliopsida; Malpighiales; Euphorbiaceae. The transcript is spliced from 3 exons. The record is from RefSeq and is a predicted model, not a curated record.